This 403-nucleotide ribosomal RNA is filed under the name uncultured bacterium. RNAcentral's name for it is "bacterial SSU rRNA". It matches the Rfam family "Bacterial small subunit ribosomal RNA", at positions 355 to 775 of the family's 1533-position model. The record is from RNAcentral.
UUAGGAAUUUUGGGCAAUGGGCGCAAGCCUGACCCAGCAACGCCGCGUGGGCGACGAAGCCCUUCGGGGUGUAAAGCCCUUUUCCGAAGGACGAUUCUGACGGUACUUCGGGAAGAAGCCCCGGCUAACUACGUGCCAGCAGCCGCGGUAAUACGUAGGGGGCGAGCGUUGUCCGGAUUCAUUGGGCGUAAAGCGCGCGCAGGCGGCUCCGAGAGCCCGGCGUGAAAGCCCCCGGCUCAACCGGGGGAGGUCGUCGGGGACCUCGGGGCUGGAGGCCGGCAGGGGCGAGCGGAAUUCCCGGUGUAGUGGUGGAAUGCGUAGAGAUCGGGAGGAACACCAGUGGCGAAGGCGGCUCGCUGGGCCGGUCCUGACGCUCAGGCGCGAAAGCGUGGGGAGCGAUCCG